AAUCUUCCACAAUGGGCGAAAGCCUGAUGGAGCAACGCCGCGUGUGUGAAGAAGGUUUUCGGAUCGUAAAACUCUGUUGUAAGGGAAGAACAAGUACAGUAGUAACUGGCUGUACCUUGACGGUACCUUAUUAGAAACCCACGGCUAACUACGUUCCAGCAGCCGCGGGAAUACGUAGGUGGCAAGCGUUGUCCGGAAUUUUUGUGCGUAAAGCGCGAGCAGGCGGUCCUUUAAGUCUGAUGUGAAAGCCCAAGGCUCAACCGUGGAGGGUCAUUGGAAACUGGGGGACUUGAGUGCAGAAGAGGAAAGUGGAAUUCCAAGUGUAGCGGUGAAAUGCGUAGAGAUUUGGAGGAACACCAGUGGCGAAGGCGACUUUCUGGUCUGUAACUGACGCUGAGGCGCGAAAGCGUGGGGAGCAAACAGG
This 424-nucleotide ribosomal RNA is filed under the name uncultured bacterium. Its description in RNAcentral is "partial 16S ribosomal RNA". It matches the Rfam family "Bacterial small subunit ribosomal RNA", at positions 360 to 776 of the family's 1533-position model. The record is from RNAcentral.